GGUGGUGGAAGCAGUGUGUGCUGGAUUCUGUUGUAUAGUCCAGUAUCCACUGUAAUCUCAUUUUUUUCUGGCUGGCUUCCAUUAAAAUAUCUGGGAAAGGUUUUUACCAGCUUUCAUUAAAAUAGAGUUUGUUAUAGGAUAAUGUGUAGGAAAUGGAAUUCUGUUUUACUGCCCCAUCCCAUUUUUUUUUUUUUUUUUUUUUUUGCUUCUUGUCUUAAACACUGAUGCUGUCUAGAACUGCGGUUAUGCAGGGGUCAUCUUGUGAAUGUGAAUAAAUACUGUGUCUUGCCCAGGCUUCACUGAGUUUCUGACUACUGCGAGGCUUCUGGGUAUAUGAGUAAAAAAACAAAUCAGACCUUGAGUUAGGGUCAAAGUUUCUGUGACUUUGCAUCCAAAUGCAUUCCUCAUUGAUAUACUCUGGUACCUCAGAUUACUUGCAUUUGCUUUCUGUUCUUCAGUAAUCUUACUCCAAAAAAUGAGGGCAAUGAAAAUAUAUAAAACUAAAGUUCUCAUCCCAACACUUUUUAAAAUCUAAAACUUCCAUUCUGCUUAGUCAGGAUGAUCUGUACUUAUGAAAUGCUUAACAGUUGCUUGUUGAAUAGAUGUGAAAGAUAGAUGAACCCUAUACAAAUUCAAUGAUUGAAACCUUCAGUUUUCUGACCUGGCUGUUCCAUGGUGCAAAGCAACAUUAUACCCUGAGAUCAGCAUCCAUCUCUGUUAUACAAACCCUUGCUUUGGUGCUCACAAAACCUUGCCCUGAUCCU
Phyllostomus discolor (pale spear-nosed bat) is the source of this 764-nucleotide long non-coding RNA. RefSeq lists it as uncharacterized. The transcript has 4 exons. The record is from RefSeq and is a predicted model, not a curated record. NCBI's taxonomy places the organism in Eukaryota, Metazoa, Chordata, Mammalia, Chiroptera, Phyllostomidae.